This is a non-coding RNA of Vicugna pacos (alpaca), 589 nucleotides long. The record is from RefSeq and is a predicted model, not a curated record. NCBI's taxonomy places the organism in Eukaryota, Metazoa, Chordata, Mammalia, Artiodactyla, Camelidae.
GACUCCUUCACUUUCCACAAACAAGCCACAGACGAGGGCAGCUAAUUGUCUAUUCAAGCUCUACCAGAAAUAAACCACCACAAGACAAUAUCAGCACAACUUGGGAGGCUGUUUCCAAAACUUAGAAAUGAAGGUGGUAACCAUACUAAAGAGCCAAUCUUUUUUCUCAAGGCUGAUUUUGCUGAGUAAGGAUUUGAUUGCCAUGGAUGCCAUCUUUUUACACAUGGCAGAGUCAUCGUUCACCAUCAUCAGACAAAGAGGAAUAAAGAACAUUCCGCAGUUCUCGUGGAGCAGCCCCUGAAGAGAAAACAGACACGCCAACGGGAGUUCUCACAGGCGUCCUACCAAGGCCCACGGGAGCCACAGCAAACAAACACAAGCACGGAGCUUGUCUCUGGUUCACGGUACCUGAGGGAAUGUGUCAAAGAGGAAGCAUGCCUCAUUUUACAGAUGAAGAGAAUGAAGCUGGCACACAGAGGUAAGUCACUUGCUCAGGUGACAGUGCCAGAAUUUUGACUGCCUGCCUGCAUCCAAAGGCUCUGCUUUCAAACCACUGUAUUACUCAGCUUCCUUUAUUAAUAAACUGAGA